RNAcentral lists this ribosomal RNA (697 nucleotides) under uncultured bacterium. Its description in RNAcentral is "bacterial SSU rRNA". It matches the Rfam family "Bacterial small subunit ribosomal RNA", at positions 48 to 762 of the family's 1533-position model. The record is from RNAcentral.
UUAACACAUGCAAGUCGAGCGGAAAGGCCCUUCGGGGUACUCGAGCGGCGAACGGGUGAGUAACACGUGAGUAAUCUGCCCCAUGCUUCGGGAUAGCCAGCCGAAAGGCUGAUUAAUACCGGAUAUGACGCUCUCCGGCAUCGGGGGGUGUGGAAAGUUUUUUCGGCGUGGGAUGUGCUCGCGGCCUAUCAGCUUGUUGGUGGGGUAAUGGCCUACCAAGGCUUCGACGGGUAGCCGGCCUGAGAGGGUGACCGGCCACACUGGGACUGAGACACGGCCCAGACUCCUACGGGAGGCAGCAGUGGGGAAUAUUGGACAAUGGGCGGAAGCCUGAUCCAGCAACGCCGCGUGAGGGAUGACGGCCUUCGGGUUGUAAACCUCUUUCAGCACAGACGAAGCGCAAGUGACGGUAUGUGCAGAAGAAGGACCGGCCAACUACGUGCCAGCAGCCGCGGUAAUACGUAGGGUCCGAGCGUUGUCCGGAAUUAUUGGGCGUAAAGGGCUCGUAGGCGGUUUGUCGCGUCGGGAGUGAAAACCAGAGGCUUAACUUCUGGCUUGCUUUCGAUACGGGCAGACUUGAGGCAUGCAGGGGAGAACGGAAUUCCUGGUGUAGCGGUGAAAUGCGCAGAUAUCAGGAGGAACACCGGUGGCGAAGGCGGUUCUCUGGGCAUGUUCUGACGCUGAGGAGCGAAAGUGU